RNAcentral lists this ribosomal RNA (295 nucleotides) under Haemophilus influenzae. RNAcentral describes it as "partial 23S ribosomal RNA". It matches the Rfam family "Bacterial large subunit ribosomal RNA", at positions 2633 to 2925 of the family's 2925-position model. The record is from RNAcentral. Lineage: Bacteria; Pseudomonadati; Pseudomonadota; Gammaproteobacteria; Pasteurellales; Pasteurellaceae.
GGUCCCUAUCCGUCGCGGGCGUAGGAAAUUUGAGAGGAUCUGCUCCUAGUACGAGAGGACCAGAGUGGACUUACCGCUGGUGUACCAGUUGUCUUGCCAAAGGCAUCGCUGGGUAGCUAUGUAGGGAAGGGAUAAACGCUGAAAGCAUCUAAGUGUGAAACCCACCUCAAGAUGAGAUUUCCCAUGAUUAUAUAUCAGUAAGAGCCCUGAGAGAUGAUCAGGUAGAUAGGUUAGAAGUGGAAGUGUGGCGACACAUGUAGCGGACUAAUACUAAUAGCUCGAGGACUUAUCCAAA